CGUCGACCACACCUGUACUGUUGUUUACAUGCCCGUAUUAUUUCAGGAUAUUCCUUUUUAUCUGAAAUCUAACAUCUUUAGAUGCUUGUGAUCCUCCUCCGUAAAACCGUACACGAAAGGAUAAACUAUACAAUUUCUUGUGAUAUAUCUCAAAUUUGGAUACCGUGAUGGAACUGUACGUAGGGUGUCUGUUAGCCGUUAUGAUCCUAGCCGCCAUUAUCAUACAGGGAAUCUAUUGUGGAUUGUUCUGUUUCUACCCAAUUGCACCUGGAGUCAGGCCUUUGAUUGUUUUAAGAAGAUCAGCCAAACCGUUUAAAAAUGAAAAAGAUACAUUCGAACUUGAGGUUCCUUUAGAAAAAGUUACAAGCAUGCCAGCAGAACAGGAGAAAGAAAAAGAGAGCCAGACAGAUGUCUGACGUCUGAUUGGAUAUAAAUCCUGUUACGUGACCAAGUAUUUCUUCUUGUAACCUUUUAUAUAAACAGAACUGUUAAAUGCAUUACAUAAAAAAAAAUAUAUAUAUAUACAUAAUUAACUUAAUAUUCCAAUAGAAGCAAUUAUUUAAUUAUUUUUAACGUUUUUACUUCUAUUGGAAUGUUAAUUUAAACGUAAUCGAGCUCUACUCGACAGCCGCCUUUAAGGGGAGAGAGAACGAGACAUCGAUUCUGCAGUAUGGAAACCAAUAGAUUUUUUCGACUUCUCAACCGUGCAAUAGAUUUUUUUUUUUUUCGGGGGAAGAAAAAGUUUUGUACUUUUUAUAAGACAAUAAAUAUUGCUGCUU
RNAcentral lists this long non-coding RNA (779 nucleotides) under Androctonus crassicauda. The record is from RNAcentral. Lineage: Eukaryota; Metazoa; Arthropoda; Arachnida; Scorpiones; Buthidae.